Molecule: non-coding RNA, 135 nt
Organism: Triticum urartu
Lineage: Eukaryota; Viridiplantae; Streptophyta; Magnoliopsida; Poales; Poaceae
Source: Rfam
GUACUACCUCCUCUGUCCCAAAAUUCUUGUCUUAAAUUUUUCUAAAUACGGAUGUAUCAAGUCACGUUUUAGUAUUAGACACAUCUGUAUCUACGCAAAUUUAAGACAAAAAUUUUGGAAUGGAGGGAGUAUUAU